This 1093-nucleotide long non-coding RNA is filed under the name Numida meleagris (helmeted guineafowl). RNAcentral describes it as "lncRNA (ENSNMEG00000007426.1)". Lineage: Eukaryota; Metazoa; Chordata; Aves; Galliformes; Numididae. The record is from RNAcentral.
UUCAUCUUUCAACCUUUCCCAGAGAAACUGUAUUUUCUUUGUGGUUGAUGAACAAUAUUACAAGCCAAUUGCAUAUGGUACAGGGCCCUGUACGCAACAAGCAGUGUGAGCAGACAGAAAGGGAAAAAAAGUUACAAGACACAGCUAAGGAACAGAGAUUCUCCAGCAUUGCCUCUGUACUGGAUACAGUUGUCUGCAAUAAUUAUUUGGCUAAGAAUAUCUGCUGUCGGCUCAAAGGCUAUGCAGAAUGAAGAUAGUCAAGAUUUUCCCCUAGGAAAUGACAACAUUUUCUGACUCUUACUGGAAAACUCAUGCACAAACUGCAGUUUUGAACUUAAAAUACUUUAUCCUUUUUCAAAGACUGUCUGUUUCUGCAAAAAAUCACAGCAAGAAGUGACAGAGUUCUUCCUUAAAUUAGACUUUUCUAGGGAAGUUAUACUGACUUUAUUGCAUUCUAUAAUCUCUUUGCACUCACAUAAUUCUCAAGGAUCUUUUUGAUGAUUCUUACUUGUGGGAAUAAUACAAAAUAAUUAGUGCCCAAUAUCAAGAUAUAGCCAAGAGUGUUUCUAAUAACUUAUGUUCUUUAUCUUUUACUUGUUUGCCUCAUCAUUGAAAUCCAUAUGUGCACAAUUGCUAUGAUCUCAUAAUUUCAAAUGUAAAUCCCCACUGUGAGCAUUCUGCAUCAUUAUGCUCCUUUACCCAAGUUUCAAGGGAAACAAUGUGUUUUAACCUUACAGGUCAGCCACACUGAAGAUUUGUACUAGCAUAAUGUUAGAUAAGCUAUCCUUGUAGGAGUACAUUCAGUGUAUUGAAAAUUUACAGAGCAAAUUGGUCACUGAACAUCUCUUACAGUUUGGCAGAGGUCUGAGUUUUUAAAGGUCAUGAAGGUUAACAUUUCUAGUGACCUUUAUAAACACAGUUCUAUAGAUAAAACAUUUUGCUGUGCUGCCAAACAUGUAAAAACCACUACAGCUCUAACUCAUAUUCCUUUAAUGUUGAAAGUUUCCUCUUAAUUACCAUAAAACAAUGUGUAUGAUAGUUUUAAAAACUCCUUUAAUCAUUUUUAAUAAAACCAAACUGGUAUUGUGGUCCA